Molecule: ribosomal RNA, 229 nt
Filed under: uncultured bacterium
Lineage: Bacteria
Description: partial 16S ribosomal RNA
Rfam family: Bacterial small subunit ribosomal RNA
Source: RNAcentral
UCCGUAGGCGGGCAAUUAAGUCAGAGGUGAAAUCCCACAGCUCAACUGUGGAACUGCCUUUGAUACUGGUUGUCUUGAGUUAUAGUGAAGUAGAUAGAAUAUGUAGUGUAGCGGUGAAAUGCAUAGAUAUUACAUAGAAUACCGAUUGCGAAGGCAGUCUACUAACUGUAUACUGACGCUAAUGGACGAAAGCGUGGGGAGCGAACAGGAUUAGACACCCUGGUAGUCC